GUCUACGGCCAUACCACCCUGAACAAGCCCGAUGUCUGAUCUCGGAAGCUAAGCAAGGUUGGGCCUGGUUAGUAUUUGGAUGGGAGACCACCUAGGAAGACCAGGUGCUGUAGGCA
Molecule: ribosomal RNA, 116 nt
Filed under: Pteropus alecto (black flying fox)
Lineage: Eukaryota; Metazoa; Chordata; Mammalia; Chiroptera; Pteropodidae
Also listed under: 1 other name
Source: RNAcentral